This 4453-nucleotide unclassified non-coding RNA is filed under the name Megachile rotundata (alfalfa leafcutting bee). Its description in RNAcentral is "uncharacterized LOC100880698, transcript variant X2". Lineage: Eukaryota; Metazoa; Arthropoda; Insecta; Hymenoptera; Megachilidae. The record is from RNAcentral.
GCUACGGAAAAUAUCGUAGGCAAAACGUAUCGCAUCGACGAUUCGAGGUACACAAAAUAUGGGCCUAAACGCGGCUGUACAAGCUCUAAAGAAAGCAGAACCGUUAAAAGACAAAGUACAACGUUGCAGAGAUUUGUUAAACGACAAUGACGCUUGGGUAUGUCAGCAACAGUUACAAAAAAUAUAUCAACAAGUUCUUAUAUUGGAUUUGGAAUAUGCAUUGGAUAGAAAAGUCGAACAAGAACUUUGGAACCUAGGAUUUAAAAAUUACAUAGCAACUUUGCAAUCGCAAGCGAAAGACAGGAAGAAUCCUAAGCGCGGAGAAUCUCAGGCUUUACUUAGUUGGUGUUUAGAGGCAGCGAGCGGUUUCUAUUUAACGUUAUUGCAAGAAAUUUGUACGGCAUUCGAUUUGGAUCUACCAUUCAGAAGGAAAGGUUACGUGUACGGGUGUACAUCACCGUGGAAAGCUGUCGAGAAACUAUCAGUGCCUCACAAAUCGUCGUGUUUUUACGCGUGCCAAUAUUGCCUUGUUCAUUUGGGAGAUAUCGCUCGUUACAGGAACGAAAGUAAACAAGCGGAAUUGUUUUACAGGCACGCAGUGUCGUUGUCACCAUCCAGUGGACAACCUUAUAAUCAGUUAGCUCUGCUCGAAGCAUCACGCGGUAAUAAAUUAGGGACCGUGUUUCAUUAUACACGAUCCGUUGCCGUGAAACAUCCAUUUCCCGUAGCCACAACGAACUUGGCAAAAACAUUAUCAUCCGCUUUGAACGAUACAUCGUUAAAUAUCGAUGGGAAAACCAAACUGACCUCUCAAGAGUAUAUAUCUGUCUUUUUGAAACUUCACGGCGUAAUUCAUAAUCUCGGAGAUUUAAAAAUCGCUUCUACUUACGCAAAAUUGUUAACCGAAACGUUAACAGCCUUGGUCGCAACGGAAAGUUUUAGCUCUUGGAUGCUCGUACAAAUGUUCGUAAUCAACUUGUACGCUUUGGAACACGCAACGAACAUUGUCGCGGGUAACACAGAUUCGUCGAAACACGAACAGUUAACGUCCGAGGAGAAAAUUGCUCGGGACUGUAUUUUAGAUCUUAUAGCAGGCAGCUUGUCCGCUUUGUUAUUACCUGUCUAUACGAUAAAAAAUUCUAUCGUGGAGUAUUUCGCUUUGCCUUCUAUAAAACUGUGCCUUGAUUGGAUUCACACUAAACCCACAGUUUUGGAAGAAGCGGCUUUUACGUCGAGACUUCAAAUCUGGCCCAGUUUGUGCGUAUUAUUGAACGCGUUGCAAAAUUGCGUAGCUGAUUUUCCAUACGAUCAAUACGUCGAAGUACCACUGCCAGAGGAUCGUGAUUUACAAGGAUUUUUACCGUUGGAGAAAAGUUUCGAGUGCUUAAAAUUUACAAAUACCGAUUUAGAAGACGAUAUCGAAGCUUCGAAUAAAUUACGCGCAGUUCGUAUCCUUCGUUCGGGACAUUGUUUAGCGCAAUAUAAAAUCAAUGGUUCCGCGUUAAUCGCCAUUACAUCGGGAGAGGAGAAAGGUAAUAACAGAUUCAGUUCGAUGAGCGAAGGAAACGGUUUGAGUAACGAACUGAUGAAAGAAUUGGAGGAGCUCAGUUUGAACAAAGAAAGACAAUCGGCCGCGUCCGGUGUAUCAAUUAGUCCGGUACUCUCGGAAACUGCCAGUAGUAAAGGUUCCGCGGAUAUCGAUACGUCGGAGCACGGUUUGGACAAAAGGAUAGGCAUUUUGAAACCUCAAGGUUCAUUGGAACGAAGCAAAGAUCCGUUGCUGAUUAAUACGGAAUCGAGUUCUUUCGAGCAGAAUACGUUACCCGCGAUUAGAAAACCGCGACAAAACGUGGCGAUGCAAACUAUUAUGCGACGUGCCGAAACGGAACAGAAGCAAGUGACGUUCAAGAACGUGUCACCGUUAAACGUAGAAGAGGAGAACGAGAAAAGGGUUAAACCAAGUUCGGUAUCGCCUACGAAAGGUAUAUCCGUCGAAAACAAGAAUAUACCGCCGAUAAUUAUCGGAGAAACAUCGAAACAGAGCAGCAUUCCCAGUUUGUCCACGAACGCGUUGAUCACUGUUCAAAAUCGAUUACCAUCGAUGCCUUUCGUCACGACUACCGUGCAGAAUCAACUCGUUACAGUACCCUCGAAUCAAAGUAAAACAAGCAAACUACAACACAACGUUUCCCAGCCAUCGCAGAUCAAUUACAUCGCUCCAAAGGACCAACAAACUUCCGGAAUUCUAACAACGAUACCCGCUACUUCUCCGUGCGUGGUCGGUACUAUUUGUUAUCAAAAUCCAACGUUCAAUGUACAAAAUCCGCAAUUCACGAAAAAUUAUAUGUCGAAUCACGGAGGUAAUGUAUCGAGUUAUCCGAUUCAAGGACACUUUUCCAGCCCAACGCAACAACAUUCGAUGUCGCAAAAUAUAAGUUUACAACAUACGUCGAACCAGAACAGGUCUAUGCAUCAGAGAGUGCAAACUCCGAAUAUACCGCAGAAUUCGUUGUUACAUCAACAAACCGUUGGGAUUCCUUCUUCGACUCAACAAACAGUUAUAUCGAACGCUUCGCAGAGUAUGAAUUCUCAGCAAACCGGGAACAUAGCUCUGCAACAAAGCAUAAACGCGCAACAACAAGGUCAUAGUUUGAGUAUUCAGCAGAAUCACGGUACGAAUAUGCAGCAACAAAACGCUGUCGGUGGAAAAAGCAAUCUCCGGCCAGGCACAGUAUCUUUACAUAAUCAAAUUCCCUUAACCAGUUCAUCCGUUACGAACGUUUGUACUUUAUCGACAAUAAAUACAUAUCAGAAGAAGCUUUAUCAAACGGGUGCACCCGUGGUGUCGAACGUACCGAUUAAUUCGUUAAAUUCGUUAAAUUCGUCCGCUACACCGGCGAAUUUGCAAUUUAAUUUUAAUCAAAGCGAUUUUAACCAAAACGCUUUUGGACAGAUAUCAUCGAAACAAUUGUCUUCGUCGGUGUACAAUAAAAAUACCGAUAUUUUAGAAUUUUCAUUGCCCAAUCACGCGAACAUGUCUAAAAAUCAAUCGCAAAUCGUGAACAAUUUUAAUCCGUUAUUUCAAAAUUACGAGACCGCGAAUUUCAAUCUGUGGAAAGACACUCGACAACCACAAUUUUCGGUACCUUGGGGUUCAUCGACCGGCAGAAGUAUGCAAUUAUCCGGCGAAGAUACGCCGGCCAUAGAAAAUUAUAACAAGUGGGACAACGGUUCUUCUUCUUCGUCCAACAUAGGAAACAUGAUCUCGGUCUCGUUAAGAAGUUGCAACGAUUAUCAGUCGGAAUCGCAGCAGCAGCAGCAGCACGGAAAACAUUUUGGCAACGCGAGCAAUUUGGAAAGCUCCGGAACUUUGGAAGUAGAGGCGAAACCAAAUCAAUUGGUCGGUACAGGAAACACCUACUCGUUGUUUAGCAGUAACACCACGUGGGGAUGUAAUUCGCAAAGUUCUAACGCGUCGAAUCAAGAUCAGACAAAAACUCGACUCAGUCAACAAUCUUUAUGGUCCGGUCCCGGGCCAUCUCCGUUAGAGCGGCUUUUAGAACAGCAAAAAUCGUUACGCGAAGGCGGUACCUGAAGGAAAGCAACGUAGUAUCACGACGAAAUAUAUUGGAAAAAAAGAUAUAUCCAGUUUAUGGAUUUAGCUUACCAAGGGCAUCUAGCGAAACGUACAACAAUAAAUUCCAUCGAUCGUUCGGCGAAAACGUUAAAUUUGUUACGAACCAAGGGUGAAAAAAAAAAAAAGAGAGAGGGUUUCGUAGCCGAUUAUAGAGAUGUUCGUUAACGUAAGAUGAACGAUACAUACGUCCAACGCGUUAUGAAUUACGCUAUAUAAACACGUAGGUGUUUGUUAUUUUACACAUUAUUGCGGGCACGAUAGCAAACAAAAAGGUAUUCCGAUAACGAACGAUGUGCGAUGAAAUUGUUCAAAGUAGUCCGAUUUCGAAAGGGCGAACGUGACCAGAAGGCGAAAAAGAACGAAGUUCGACAAGAUAAAGAUUUGUUAACGAACGAAUAAACAAACGAUCCAAAAAAAAAAAAAAAGAUAUCGCACACGUCGAGAACAUAUAUUUUGUGAGAAUGAUUUUACGUCUUUCGGUGACAUUCUAUAAUAAUCGUGUACAACUUUUGUUUAUAAACGAUGCUUUAUUAAUAAAAACAAGCAGUACGCAUGUACAUGUGUAUAUAUAUAUAUAUAUAUAUAUGUACAUACAAUACACGAAGAGAAUAAACCAAGUUUGUGCAUUUUACAAUCGAAGAAGACACGAAAUAUUCAAGAUGAAAGAAAGAAAAAAGAAAAAACAAACAUUUAAUUAUGUAACACCGAAAUAAAUAAUAAAUUAGUUCGUUUUCAACGACGAAACGAAAAAUUAUAUUUAAUUAAUGAAAAAUACAUAUAUGUUACGAGUCCAAAUAAAACUUGCGUCAUGAUUAA